This is a long non-coding RNA of Apis mellifera (honey bee), 1301 nucleotides long. RefSeq lists it as uncharacterized. The record is from RefSeq and is a predicted model, not a curated record. The transcript has 4 exons. Lineage: Eukaryota; Metazoa; Arthropoda; Insecta; Hymenoptera; Apidae.
GUUAAAUUCAAUAUUAUCAAUUACGAUUCUACUUGUGAAUGUGAAAGAAUAAGGUGUAAAGUGAUGUGAACAUUGAAAUCAAGAAAGAAAUCUCUUUUACUUUAUCGUUCAUUUAAUCCAAAUACGAAUCUUUCCUAUGAAUUAAUUACAGAAACAUUUCCGGCGUAGUGAAAGCGGAAGUAGCGUGUAAAAGAAAGUUUAAUCAGUGCAAUAUAUGUAACGAACAAUUCCAUACGUAAUUUUUUUCAACGGAUAUCUGAACUGAGUCAUCAUGGACAUUUCUUUCUCCUUUUAAUUAAAAUGAUUUACGAUAUUCAAUUAGGAUAGACAUCAAACGGUAUUUCGUGAUAAGUUCCAACAGUUUUUAAUUCGUUAGAUAAAAGAAUCCAACUAUUUUUUUUUCUUUUUUGUCAAAAUUCAAUUCCAUGUACUGUUCGUAUCCAAGUCGAUUAAUUAAUCAAGUGUUUUCGCGGCGUGACACGUUUCUACCUGAGAUUCUCUCGUAUAUCUCGUUUGUGUUUCCGUAAUUAACGCGUUGAAUUGUUCCAUAUGAUGCGACACGGAAACUGGAAUGCGUGUUAGUGCGAUCGUAACACGGCAGUCCCAUGACUCGAUCAUAUGCAAAUCCAAAUGCAAUCUGGCAGAGCCGGUGACAACGAGUAACGGUCGAGAAACCUUAGGUGAUCCGAGGCGAUCGAAUUUCGAAAUCGACACGACUGCAUCGCAUAAUGGCCAUACAGUUACAGUUUGAAAAGGAGCAGAGACAAGUCACGUAAGAAUUGAGGAGAGGAAAAAAAAAAAAACGACAAAUGUAGGAAGCGGAAAAUUCAACGCUAUUUCAUUUGCUGCGAGAUAUAUAACUCAGAUUAUACGAAUGCAAAGAGAUUCUUCGACGUGCCAUAAAUUGCGCUUAAAUCGUAUCGCAACUACGAAAAGGCAAAUUCUGCUCCAAAAACACUGAAUGAGGCGAAUAUAUCUACUUACUAAUCUGAUCAUCGUUGUUGCCUGCCAACUUGUUUUUACGAUUUUGAUAUUUUAUUAACACUUUAUUGCGGCAAUCUUAAGAUAUUCGUUACCGAGGAGGAAGUUCGUGUGUUAAUAUCAAGAUCCAGAAUAUACAUGAACAACAUGUGUGUCAUAUACGAGUGACAAUAAAAUCCUGGACACGUUGGAAAUUUGUGGAUGAGGAUGAGCGAGAGGAGGAAGAACAAAUUCAUUAGAUUCAUCGAUAAUUGCAAGGGAAAUAUCUUCGGGAACUUCCCACGAUAGAAUCUUUAAUGCAGCCACUUUCUUACCGAAUA